CUACGGGACGCAGCAGUGGGGAAUAUUGCACAAUGGGCGCAAGCCUGAUGCAGCCAUGCCGCGUGUAUGAAGAAGGCCUUCGGGUUGUAAAGUACUUUCAGCGGGGAGGAAGGGAGUAAAGUUAAUACCUUUGCUCAUUGACGUUACCCGCAGAAGAAGCACCGGCUAACUCCGUGCCAGCAGCCGCGGUAAUACGGAGGGUGCAAGCGUUAAUCGGAAUUACUGGGCGUAAAGCGCACGCAGGCGGUUUGUUAAGUCAGAUGUGAAAUCCCCGGGCUCAACCUGGGAACUGCAUCUGAUACUGGCAAGCUUGAGUCUCGUAGAGGGGGGUAGAAUUCCAGGUGUAGCGGUGAAAUGCGUAGAGAUCUGGAGGAAUACCGGUGGCGAAGGCGGCCCCCUGGACGAAGACUGACGCUCAGGUGCGAAAGCGUGGGGAGCAAACAGGAUUAGAUACCCCGGUAGUC
RNAcentral lists this ribosomal RNA (464 nucleotides) under uncultured bacterium. RNAcentral's name for it is "partial 16S ribosomal RNA". It matches the Rfam family "Bacterial small subunit ribosomal RNA", at positions 339 to 795 of the family's 1533-position model. The record is from RNAcentral.